GCAAGGGAUUGCAGUUAACCUUCCAGCGGGACUAGAGGCCGGGGAAGGGGCCGCGUUCACACAGUUCCUCCGCUCCGGCUCUGACAGAUAAGGAAACUGAGACUUAAAGCAAGGAGGUGGCUUGCAGCAAGAUGAGGUGCAGACUGGACUGACGCCCAGUUUCUAAACUUGUCUUGCUGCAGAUGGAGAGAGUCUGCGAGGCUGCGCAGGUGCCCAGAUCACACUCUGAGUGGGCGGGGCCACCCUCUCGCUGUUCCAAAUGGACCAGCAGCACCGGCGGCACCUGGGAAUUUGCUAGAAAUGUAGCGUCUUCGGCCCCAUUCCAUUCCUGCUGAACCAGAGUCUGCUUUUUAACAGGCCACCAGGAGGAGUUCCUGUUGUGGCUCAGGAGAUUAUGAAUCCGACUAGUAUCCAUGAAGAUGCGGGUUUG
Molecule: non-coding RNA, 430 nt
Organism: Sus scrofa (pig)
Lineage: Eukaryota; Metazoa; Chordata; Mammalia; Artiodactyla; Suidae
Source: RefSeq, a predicted model, not a curated record